AACGAACGCUGGCGGCAUGCCUAACACAUGCAAGUCGAACGAGACCUUCGUGCUUUUUUGCGCUCGUCUUCUUAACGCCUGGUAACUUUCCCUUAUGUUCCCUAUCCCUCCCUUUAUGGUGUUCUAAUACCGCUUAUUCUCUUCUGUCCAAAGAUUUCUUGCGUUUGGUUGGGCCUGCGUUGGAUUAGUUUGUUGGUAGUGUAAAAGCCUACUAAGGCGACGAUCCAUAGCUGGUUUGAGAGGAUGAUCAUCCACACUGGGACUGAGACACGGACCAGACUCCUACGGGAGGCAGGAGUGGGGAAUAUUGGACAAUGGGCGAAAGCCUGAUCAAGCAAUGCGGGGUGAGUGAUGAAGGCCUUAGGGUUGUAAAGCUCUUUUACCCGGGAUGAUAAUGACAGUACCGGGAGAAUAAGCACCGGCUAACUCCGUG
This 433-nucleotide ribosomal RNA is filed under the name uncultured bacterium. Its description in RNAcentral is "partial 16S ribosomal RNA". It matches the Rfam family "Bacterial small subunit ribosomal RNA", at positions 29 to 507 of the family's 1533-position model. The record is from RNAcentral.